This 283-nucleotide unclassified non-coding RNA is filed under the name Bombus terrestris (buff-tailed bumblebee). Its description in RNAcentral is "misc RNA ENSBTSG00005034035.1". Lineage: Eukaryota; Metazoa; Arthropoda; Insecta; Hymenoptera; Apidae. The record is from RNAcentral.
AAGACGUACGAGGCUGACCGCGAGAAUGGGAAAGAUAGAUGGUGAACAAACGACUAAGAGAGGAGGAGAGAAAGAAUGAGAAAGAAAAAAGAAAGGAGCACGAAGCACGACCAGAUCUCCGUGGCGCAGCGGGUGUCGCGGUAACUCUUACCUCAAGUGGGUAUGCGUGUUGCGAGUACAAUGCCGGCUAAUGAUGCCUCGACGCCGGUAUGUGGAGCGACCGACCGAACACACAACGACUCCGAUGGAACCGCAAAAAGAGACCGAGCCACUAUGGACGAAG